This 385-nucleotide ribosomal RNA is filed under the name uncultured bacterium. RNAcentral's name for it is "bacterial SSU rRNA". It matches the Rfam family "Bacterial small subunit ribosomal RNA", at positions 30 to 418 of the family's 1533-position model. The record is from RNAcentral.
AUUGAACGCUGGCGGCAUGCCUUACACAUGCAAGUCGAACGGCAGCACGGGAGCAAUCCUGGUGGCGAGUGGCGAACGGGUGAGUAAUAUAUCGGAACGUGCCCAGUCGUGGGGGAUAACGCAGCGAAAGCUGUGCUAAUACCGCAUACGAUCUAUGGAUGAAAGCGGGGGGAUCGCAAGACCUCGCGCGAUUGGAGCGGCCGAUAUCAGAUUAGCUAGUUGGUGGGUAAAAGCCACCAAGGCGACGAUCUGUAGCUGGUCUGAGAGGACGACCAGCCACACUGGAACUGAGACACGGUCCAGACUCCUACGGAGGCAGCAGUGGGGAAUUUUGGACAAUGGGCGCAAGCCUGAUCCAGCAAUGCGCGUGAGUGAAGAAGGCCUU